UACUAAAGGGCACUCUAAGGAGACUGCCGGUGACAAACCGGAGGAAGAUGGGGAUUACGUCAGGUCCUCAUGGCCCUUAUGGGUAGGGCUACACACGUCAUACAAUGGCCGGUACAGAGGGUUGCCAACCCGCGAGGGGGAGCCAAUCCCAGAAAACCGGUCGUAGUCCGGAUCGCAGUCUGCAACUCGACUGCGUGAAGUCGGAAUCGCUAGUAAUCGCGGAUCAGCUUGCCGCGGUGAAUACGUUCCCGGGUCUUGUACACACCGCCCGUCACACCAUGGGAGCGGGUUCUGCCAGAAGUAGUUAGCCUAACC
RNAcentral lists this ribosomal RNA (315 nucleotides) under uncultured beta proteobacterium. Its description in RNAcentral is "bacterial SSU rRNA". It matches the Rfam family "Bacterial small subunit ribosomal RNA", at positions 1126 to 1440 of the family's 1533-position model. Lineage: Bacteria; Pseudomonadati; Pseudomonadota; Betaproteobacteria. The record is from RNAcentral.